RNAcentral lists this ribosomal RNA (634 nucleotides) under Flavobacterium sp. Ri2Pw_5820. Its description in RNAcentral is "bacterial SSU rRNA". It matches the Rfam family "Bacterial small subunit ribosomal RNA", at positions 378 to 1013 of the family's 1533-position model. The record is from RNAcentral. Lineage: Bacteria; Pseudomonadati; Bacteroidota; Flavobacteriia; Flavobacteriales; Flavobacteriaceae.
GCAGCCUGAUCCAGCCAUGCCGCGUGCAGGAUGACGGUCCUAUGGAUUGUAAACUGCUUUUAUACGAGAAGAAACACUGCUUCGUGAAGCAGCUUGACGGUAUCGUAAGAAUAAGGAUCGGCUAACUCCGUGCCAGCAGCCGCGGUAAUACGGAGGAUCCAAGCGUUAUCCGGAAUCAUUGGGUUUAAAGGGUCCGUAGGCGGUUUGGUAAGUCAGUGGUGAAAGCCCAUCGCUCAACGGUGGAACGGCCAUUGAUACUGCCAGACUUGAAUUAUUAGGAAGUAACUAGAAUAUGUAGUGUAGCGGUGAAAUGCUUAGAGAUUACAUGGAAUACCAAUUGCGAAGGCAGGUUACUACUAAUGGAUUGACGCUGAUGGACGAAAGCGUGGGUAGCGAACAGGAUUAGAUACCCUGGUAGUCCACGCCGUAAACGAUGGAUACUAGCUGUUGGAAGCAAUUUCAGUGGCUAAGCGAAAGUGAUAAGUAUCCCACCUGGGGAGUACGUUCGCAAGAAUGAAACUCAAAGGAAUUGACGGGGGCCCGCACAAGCGGUGGAGCAUGUGGUUUAAUUCGAUGAUACGCGAGGAACCUUACCAAGGCUUAAAUGUAGAUUGACCGGUUUGGAAACAGAUCU